GCAUCUAGUGGGAGACAUCCGAUAAAACAGGAACGAGACAAAGAAGAUUAGUAUGGUCCUUGCGUAUAGAUAGUACACACAAAUUGAGACAUGGUCCAAAAUUUU
RNAcentral lists this small nuclear RNA (105 nucleotides) under Amborella trichopoda. Lineage: Eukaryota; Viridiplantae; Streptophyta; Magnoliopsida; Amborellales; Amborellaceae. The record is from RNAcentral.